Molecule: ribosomal RNA, 973 nt
Filed under: Ischnothyreus peltifer
Lineage: Eukaryota; Metazoa; Arthropoda; Arachnida; Araneae; Oonopidae
Description: eukaryotic LSU rRNA
Rfam family: Eukaryotic large subunit ribosomal RNA
Source: RNAcentral
GCCCCCAGCGGGCGUUCGGAAAAUGUGGCGUUUAGGAGGUGGCGCGCCGCGGCCGGACCUUGCAGCAAGUCCCCCUGACCGGGGCUGUGACCCAGAGUGGGUGCGAGGCCCAUAGCUGCUGCGUCCGCCGCGGAUGUCACCUCUUGGGAGUCGGGUUGCUUGGGAGUGCAACCCUAAGCGGGUGGUAAACUCCACCUAAGGCUAAAUACGGCCGUGAGACCGAUAGCAAACAAGUACCGUGAGGGAAAGUUGCAAAGAACUUUGAAGAGAGAGUUCAAGAGUACGUGAAACUGCUCAGAGGCAAACGUGUGGGCCCUCGAAGUCCUCCGGCGGGGGGAUUCAGUCAGGAGGGGCUGAGGUGGCUAGCGAUAACCACGGACCCUUUGCGGGGCCGGGUCGCUGCCGCGGUCUCGGUCCGACCUGACGCAUUUCCUCCCGCGCUGGGACGCCGCAUCCGGUUGGGUAGCUGCGAGAGUCGGCCAUGGGGGUGGGCGACGGAAGGUGGCCGGUGGCGUUGCUCUUCGCUGCCGGUUGUUAGCCRGCCCGCCCGUGGCGCGACACCCGACCGAGGUUGACUCGUUCCCUUCUGGGAACUGGCCGCCCCCUUCGGAGCGGCGGCUGGCAGGUGCAUCGCGGUUUCGCCUCUCCACUCUCAGAGUGCCUGGCGGCCCGCGUUCCCUGGUGGGGAGCAGCGGCUGGCGGCGAGUGAGUCGGUCACCCACACGACCCGUCUUGAAACACGGACCAAGGAGUCUAACAUGUGCGCGAGUCACGGGGUCUUGAACAGGCCCAGGGGCGCAAUGAAAGUGAAGGUCGGCCUCGCGCCGUCCGUGCUGGGACCCCUCGUCCUCCGCGGCGGGGGUGCACCAGCGAUCCGUCCUGUCCGAUUUAUCGGUUGGCUGGAGUCUGAGCGCACACGUUGGGACCCGAAAGAUGGUGAACUAUGCCUGGGCAGGACGAAGCCAGAGGAAAC